Ictidomys tridecemlineatus (thirteen-lined ground squirrel) is the source of this 988-nucleotide non-coding RNA. NCBI's taxonomy places the organism in Eukaryota, Metazoa, Chordata, Mammalia, Rodentia, Sciuridae. The record is from RefSeq and is a predicted model, not a curated record.
CUCUGCAGUGAGGGUAGCAUAGAGUUGCGACCUGGGCAGGUGCUCUGACCUUAAUAUGAUGUGGUGGUUGUUGUUCAUUUAAAAGAACAGAGACUGGAGAUGGAGCCUCUCAGCUGCUGGACCAGCAUGCAGUAUCUCAGCCCCCGGGUCACAUUUUCAAAAUCAUCGUAUUAUUUAUUUAUUGCAAAAUAUCUGUUGGUGGCCAUUUGCCUGGCUCCUUUCAUCGGACAUUGCUGGACAGGAAUGCAGUGUCCCUGCCCUCACGGAGCUUGUACUUUUGCUGGGGCGACCUGUAAAAAGCCGGCAAGCACAAAGCAAUGAGCCAAGUAGUGAGCUGCAGAAAACUUCUCCACCCCACAUGAGCCCUCCUCCUGCUACUGCCUCAGCCUGCUUUGCUGUGCAGCUGUGAAGUGCUGGUUCCAUGGACCGGGCUCCUGGGCUUGAGUGGAAAGUGAGGCUGGUGUGAACAGAAGAAGAGGAAGGUAUGGACGUUUUCUCGGAGCGGUGUCUUAGCCUAUGGAAUUGUUUCUGAUUGUUGUCUGGCUUGACUUUAAGUGUAUUCUCCUCCCACAACAUUCUCCCAUCAGUGGUGACAUAGGCAGGAGCUCCAAUCCCAAAGAAAGAUGUCGGGAUCACUAACCAAAGGCAUGAGGACUUUGUGCAAGGAGGGCGAGUUCUUACAUAGGCCUCUGGUAAAUUUGGCCACUGAAGAUGCCCAUUUCCUCUGACCUUGGUUCAUGGCCUUCCAGAGGCCUAAGAAUGUCUUCUUUGGACCCGGGUGUUCCCAGGUUAGAGACACCUCCCUGAUAAAUCAAAUUUCUCUUGUGGGGAGGGAAUGGAAGUGUUAUGUAGAGAGUGGAAGGAAAAUGAGGGAAUUCUAAUAGAGACUUAAAAUAUAUUGAUUGAAUCUGUUUUACAAUGUAGAAGAAUGAUAAUUUCUUUGUUGUAAUUAAAAAUAAAUAUGUAUAUUAUUUAUGUCAAAUCAAAA